UCUGGUGCCAGCAGCUGCGGUAAUACCAGCUCCAAUAGCGUAUAUUAAAGUUGUUGCAGUUAAAAAGCUCGUAGUUGGACUUGUGUGCGCUGCCCGCGGGUGGCCUGCGCCCAAAAGGGCGUUUCGGUUCGGCCCCGGUGGCGCCUUGAAAUCUGCAGCUGGGGGGACGUUGGCCUUAACUGGUCGGCGACCGCACGCCGGCUGCUCGGUUACUGUGAGAAAAUUAGAGUGUUCAAGGCAGGCAUUGGGCGCAAUUGAAUACAUUAGCAUGGAAUAAUAAAAUAUGGCUCCUGCCGUAUUUUGUUGGUUUUGACUGGUGGGAGUAAUGAUUGAUAGGGACGGUUGGGGGUGCUAGUAUUGAGCGGCCAGAGGUGAAAUUCAUGGAUUCGCUCAAGACUAACUUAUGCGAAAGCAUUCACCAAGGACGUCCUCUUUAAUCAAGAACGAAAGUUGGGGGAUCGAAGACGAUCAGAUACCGUCGUAGUCUCAACCAUAAACUAUGUCGACUUGGGAUCGGCGGUAGUUUUUUCAUUAAGACACUGUCGGGACCACGGGAGAAAUCAAAGUGUCUGGACUCUGGGGGAAGUAUGGUCGCAAGGCUGAAACUUGAAGGAAUUGACGGAAGGGCACCACCAGGAGUGGAGCCUGCGGCUUAAUUUGACCCAACACGGGGAAACUUACCAGGUCCAGAGAUGUAGAGGAUUGACAGAUUGAAGCUCUUUCUUGAUCACUUCGGUGGUGGUGCAUGGCCGUUCUUAGUUGGUGGAGUGAUUUGUCUGGUUAAUUCCGUUAACGAACGAGACCUCAGCCUGCUAGUGUAGUCGGCUGGAUUGCCUUUGGCGAUCCGUGAUUUCGACUUCUUAGAGGGACAAUCGACGCGCAGUCGAUGGAAGUUUGAGGCAAUAACAGGUCUGUGAUGCCCUUAGAUGUUCUGGGCCGCACGCGCGCUACACUGCUGGGCUCAGCGAGUUUUACUUGGCCGAGAGGCCCGGUUAAUCUUGUGAAAUCCCAGCGUGCUUGGGCUCGCCUCCUGCAACUGGAGGCGCCAACGAGGAAUUCCUAGUAGACGCAGGUCAUCAACCUGCAUCGAUUACGUCCCUGCCCUUUGUACACACCGCCCGUCGUUCCAUAAGAGUGAGGCAUCCGGUGAAUUCUCGGGAGAGCCUGGGCGUGGCCAGCAAUGGUCUGCUCGGGUUUGAACUUGCAUAAACUCGGUGCCUAUGAUUAGGGAAAAGUCGUAACAAGGUUUCCGUAGGUGGACCUGCGGAAG
RNAcentral lists this ribosomal RNA (1270 nucleotides) under metagenome. RNAcentral describes it as "SSU rRNA". It matches the Rfam family "Eukaryotic small subunit ribosomal RNA", at positions 560 to 1823 of the family's 1831-position model. The record is from RNAcentral.